CCUACGGGAGGCAGCAGUGGGGAAUAUUGGACAAUGGGCGCAAGCCUGAUCCAGCAAUGCCGCGUGAGUGAUGAAGGCCUUAGGGUCGUAAAGCUCUUUUACCAGGGAUGAUAAUGACAGUACCUGGAGAAUAAGCUCCGGCUAACUCCGUGCCAGCAGCCGCGGUAAUACGGAGGGAGCUAGCGUUGUUCGGAAUUACUGGGCGUAAAGCGUACGUAGGCGGUUAUUCAAGUCAGAGGUGAAAGCCCGGGGCUCAACCCCGGAACGGCCUUUGAAACUAGGUAGCUAGAAUCUUGGAGAGGUCAGUGGAAUUCCGAGUGUAGAGGUGAAAUUCGUAGAUAUUCGGAAGAACACCAGUGGCGAAGGCGACUGACUGGACAAGUAUUGACGCUGAGGUACGAAAGCGUGGGGAGCAAACAGGAUUAGAUACCCUGGUAGUCCACGCCGUAAACGAUGAUAACUAGCUGUCCGGGCACUUGGUGCCUGGGUGGCGCAGCUACGACAUUAAGUUAUCCGUCCGUCGGGUAGGUACGGUCGCGAAGAAUUAAAACUUAAAUUAGUAAGUUAGUACGGCGUGAGACGUGCCGAACGGACGACGACGAGGGAGUAGG
This 611-nucleotide ribosomal RNA is filed under the name uncultured bacterium. Its description in RNAcentral is "bacterial SSU rRNA". The stretch from base 1 to 518 matches the Rfam family "Bacterial small subunit ribosomal RNA", at positions 338 to 873 of the family's 1533-position model. The record is from RNAcentral.